Molecule: transfer RNA, 69 nt
Filed under: Crinia parinsignifera
Lineage: Eukaryota; Metazoa; Chordata; Amphibia; Anura; Myobatrachidae
Description: tRNA-Val
Source: RNAcentral
CAAAGUAUAGUUUAUAUAAAACCCCUUGCUUACACCAAGAAGUCACCUGUGCGACCCUGGUUACUUUGA